GCAAGUCGAACGGAAACGUUAGUUGCUUGCAAGUAGACGUCGAGUGGCGGACGGGUGAGUAAUGCAUGGGAAUCUGCCUAUUAGUGGGGGAUAACACGGGGAAACUCGUGCUAAUACUGCAUACACUCUUUGGAGGAAAGCGGGGGAUCCUCGGACCUCGCGCUAAUAGAUGAGCCCAUGUCGGAUUAGCGUGUUGGUAGGGUAAAGGCCUACAAAGGCGACGAUCCGUAGCUGGUUUGAGAGGAUGAUC
RNAcentral lists this ribosomal RNA (250 nucleotides) under uncultured bacterium. Its description in RNAcentral is "partial 16S ribosomal RNA". It matches the Rfam family "Bacterial small subunit ribosomal RNA", at positions 57 to 305 of the family's 1533-position model. The record is from RNAcentral.